RNAcentral lists this long non-coding RNA (324 nucleotides) under Gallus gallus (chicken). RNAcentral describes it as "long non-coding RNA NONGGAT008702". The record is from RNAcentral. Lineage: Eukaryota; Metazoa; Chordata; Aves; Galliformes; Phasianidae.
CUGAGAGGUUGCUUUGAAUUAGCAGGGAACCUAUGGCAUCAAGAUGUAGGCUGUGCUAGUUGUAAAGGUUCUGCUUGGGCCAGGACUGUACCUGUCCUUUAGCAGUCUGCGCCUUGACUGCAGCCUGUAACUACAACAUCCAUUUCUGAAGCAGCAGUGAGCCUCCAACAUGAAUGGAUGCUCCUUCUGGAAGGGAGCAUGCCGUGUGGGUGGCCCCCCAUGCCUGUCUGCAGCCCUGCAGCUCCUUGCCUCUUCCCAGGCCUCAAGAGGCCCCAUGGCUAAAGCAGCUUGCAAGAGGAGGAUCUCAACUCUAGGUGGUUCAGG